RNAcentral lists this long non-coding RNA (516 nucleotides) under Bos taurus (domestic cattle). RNAcentral describes it as "long non-coding RNA NONBTAT001644". Lineage: Eukaryota; Metazoa; Chordata; Mammalia; Artiodactyla; Bovidae. The record is from RNAcentral.
GAUCAAUACCACUUUGCUACCAAAAAAUGGCCCAGACGAUGAGAUUUGAUGUAUUUAAAGUAUCGUUUCACCCUUUUAACCUAGUGAAUCAUUGAGAACGCUUUCAGUGUUGCUUUGCUGCUCUUUUGUUUCUCACUGUUCAAAGUGUUAUGAUUGUUCUCAAAAAAAAAAAAAAAAAAAGUUAGACGUUGGUGUGUGAAGGAAGGAUGCAGGCUUCACACCUACAAGUGGGAGUGUACCCCCAUCAGACCUGUGUUUCUCUGUGUUAGGGGCGGAAGAAGUAGUAUGUUUCAACACUGUAUUUGAGGAGGUGUGUAUAAAACCUAAAAAGUGUAAAAAUGUCCCUUCUCGAACAUUCAGGGAGUCGUUUAAAACGUCAUUAGUCACCUUGUAUCUUUUGUGAUACCUUUAAGCCUUUAUAGGGUAAAAGAUUCAGUAGCUCUGACAAUUAGAACUCACCCCCCACCCCUUACAGAACAUUGAUAUGAAAUUACCCUCCAGCGCAGACAGCUUUGU